Molecule: long non-coding RNA, 1449 nt
Organism: Aedes albopictus (Asian tiger mosquito)
Lineage: Eukaryota; Metazoa; Arthropoda; Insecta; Diptera; Culicidae
Exons: 4
Source: RefSeq, a predicted model, not a curated record
UGAAUAGACGACUGCUUCAAUAGCAGGAAAUUUACUUGACUAGAGAAAUCGACUUGACUCCGUCACUUCAUAGUUGAGUCGGCUGGAGAGCAGAAGUGAGCUUCGGCGACCUUCUCCCAGUUUGUACUGUUUUAAAGUUAUUUGAAUAGUGGAUUUAGUCGCCAGGGGCAGACACUCUGUUCCCUGAGCAUUUGUUUGAUUUUCAAAAGCGUCCAAGACGCUUUUUAUUUUGGGCUUUAAGCCUAGUGCUCGUCCUCGCCCGCCAGUAACUGGUAGCUAAACGGACUCAAGGGGAAUAUUUCCGGCCUACCUGCGUGCAGUUUAGGCACGAUCAGGCAGAGUACCGGGCCGCCGACACCCCUCCGCACCUAUAAUCCGGCGAACAUUAAGGAGAGCAACGUCGACGAUUGGCCACGAAGAAGCACUGACACCGAAAAAGCCUGCGCAGCGCUUCAAACAUUUCAGGAGCGUACCCAGUACAAAACACGCAAGCCGUCCCCUAACACGGACAUCAAAUUGUAGACGAUCUUCGUCUUGUGUUGUUGCUCAAAUCAAGAUGUCCCCUUAGGAUUAGAAAUUCCAGGGAGGAACCAGCACCCGCCACCCUGAAUUUAUAUCGACGGUGAUGAAAUCGAGGCGGUUGAAGAAUUUGUGUACUUGGGCUCACUGGUGACCGCCGACGACAUCAGCAGAGAAAUUCAGAGGCGCAUUGUGGCAAGAAAUCGUGCUUACCUUGGACUCCGCAAAACUCUACGAUCGAAUAGAGUUCGCCAUAACACGAAGUUAACUAUCUUCAAAACUGUGAUUAGACCGGUCGUCCUCUAUUGGCACGAAACAUGGACCCUACGUGCAGAGGACCAACGCGCCCUUGGAGUUUUCGAACGGAAGGUGUUGCGUACCAUCUACGGCGGAGUGCAGAGCUGCAUCAGCAGCUGAGAGAACCAACCAUCGUCCACACCGCGAAAAUCGGGAGGCUACGGUGGGCGGGAUACGUCAUCAGGAUGUCGGAUAGCAACCCGACUAAAAUGGUUCUCGAGAGUCAUCCGACCGGUACAAGAAGACGUGGUGCGCAGCGAGCUAGGUGGGUCAACCAAGAGGAGGACGAUCUGCGGACUGUGAGUGAGUGUGCAUGUCUAGUUUUACAAACUAUAUAUUACUUCGUCUCGCAUCUCUUCAAUGGCUCUUUCAAACUUAUUUUUCAAAAUCUUCCUCUCUGUAAAAAAAUAAAAGAACAAUUACGAUUUAUAUUAACUAUUGAAACAACAAUAAUAAGAAAACAUACACAACUAUAAACUCUUACCUACUUCUUUUAAAUGGGCGGCAUUGAUUUUGUUGAUAAUAUUCAAGCCCCUUUUCGUAGCAUUAUGUAACUGCUUUAAAAAAAAAGAUUGUUUGCUUGUGCUGAAAUGAUAUUUUCUUCAUUAAUAAUAAAUUAUAACUAUGUUCGCA